GACGAACGCUGGCGGCGUGCUUAACACAUGCAAGUCGAACGGAAAGGCCCCUUUGGGGGUCCUCGAGUGGCGAACGGGUGAGUAACACGUGAGUAACCUGCCCUUGACUUCGGGAUAACUUCAGGAAACUGGGGCUAAUACCGGAUAGGAAUCCUUGCUGCAUGGUGGGGGUUGGAAAGCUUCGGCGGUUUUGGAUGGACUCGCGGCUUAUCAGCUUGUUGGUGGGGUAGUGGCUUACCAAGGCUUUGACGGGUAGCCGGCCUGAGAGGGCGACCGGCCACAUUGGGACUGAGAUACGGCCCAGACUCCUACGGGAGGCAGCAGUGGGGAAUAUUGCACAAUGGGCGGAAGCCUGAUGCAGCAACGCCGCGUGCGGGAUGACGGCCUUCGGGUUGUAAACCGCUUUCAGCAGGGGCGAAGCUUGUGGUGACGGUACCUGCAGAAGAAGCACCGGCUAACUAUGUG
Molecule: ribosomal RNA, 465 nt
Filed under: uncultured bacterium
Lineage: Bacteria
Description: partial 16S ribosomal RNA
Rfam family: Bacterial small subunit ribosomal RNA
Source: RNAcentral